RNAcentral lists this ribosomal RNA (199 nucleotides) under uncultured bacterium. Its description in RNAcentral is "partial 16S ribosomal RNA". It matches the Rfam family "Bacterial small subunit ribosomal RNA", at positions 1294 to 1500 of the family's 1533-position model. The record is from RNAcentral.
CGGAUCGGAGUCUGCAACCCGACUCCGUGAAGCUGGAUUCGCUAGUAAUCGCGCAUCGGCCAUGGCGCGGUGAAUACGUUCCCGGGCCUUGUACACACCGCCCGUCAAGCCAUGGAAGCCGGGGGCGCUUGAAGUGCGUUGCCGCAAGGCGCGCCCUAGAGCGAAACCGGUGACUGGGGCUAAGUCGUAACAAGGUACC